RNAcentral lists this ribosomal RNA (809 nucleotides) under Symbiodinium sp. D1.2. Its description in RNAcentral is "eukaryotic LSU rRNA". It matches the Rfam family "Eukaryotic large subunit ribosomal RNA", at positions 1 to 834 of the family's 3401-position model. Lineage: Eukaryota; Dinophyceae; Suessiales; Symbiodiniaceae. The record is from RNAcentral.
AGCAUGAAGUCAAACAAGAGAACCCGCUGAAUUUAAGCAUAUAAGUAGGCGGAGGAAAAGGAACUAAAUAGGAUUCCCUUAGUAAUGGCGAAUGAACAGGGAUAAGCUCAGGCUGGAAACCAGAGCUCCGGUUCUGGGUUGUAGCUUGCAGACAAAGCGCUAUCGGCGGCUCGAGCGUAAGCCUCUUGGAACAGAGCGUGUGCCCAGGUGAGAAUCCUGUGUUUCGCUUGAUGUCCGCCGUAUACGGUGCUUGCUCUCAGAGUCACGCUCCUCGGAAUUGGAGCGUAAAUCAGGUGGUAGAUUUCAUCUAAAGCCAAAUACAGGCUCGAGACCGAUAGCGAACAAGUACCAUGAGGGAAAGAUGAAAAGGACUUUGGAAAGAGAGUUAAAAGUGCUUGAAAUCGCUGAAAGGGAAGCGAAUGGAACCACAUUCAUGGCUGAGAUUGCUGUAGGUGCUUGUGAAUGCUAGUCGCUCUGAUUGGGUGUGAGCAGGUACUUGCAGUGUUUCUUAGCUUGUGUGUCACUUGCCACAUAUGUGUGAGGAUGGCCUUUUGCACACGCUCUCUGCUUGCGGGUAGAGAUUUGUGCUUUUUGGGAUUCACUCGUAUAUGGCAUGCUGAUUCAGUGGUUCCUUUCGACCCGUCUUGAAACACGGACCAAGGAGUCUAGCACACACGCAAGUUCUUGGGUGGCAAACCUGUAUGCGCAAUGAAGGUGACUGCUGGGACUUUGCACCGGCAACCGACCGAUCAAUUGGGAGAAGUUUGAGUAUGAGCAUGUGUGUUAGGACCCGAAAGAUGGUGAACUAA